AAGACCUGGCUAAGGUGAUCGACCUCCAGGAAGUCAUAGACAAGCAGGAGCAGAGCCAGAUGGAGGAGCGCCUGGCAGCCCUCUUUGCCCAUGUGACUGAAGGAGGACCUGGACAUGGCCAGGAAGGACCUCCUCAAGUCCGAGGACGUGAACAGGAAACUGCAGCAGGAUGUUCACGAAGCGAGUCUGGUGACGUCUGUGGAGCCCGUUCUCUCGGAGAGAUGGGAGCAUGCUGUGUGGACUCUGCUGAGGCAGCUUGCCUGGCCAUCUUCUCUGGUUUUCUGAGGUUCCGCUCCUUGAAGGGAUGUGUGACAGUGAUACCGGCGGUCAGACAAGUCAAGUGGCAUUUGCUCACCCUCAGAUCCUCAGGCCCGAGUUGUGUAACCAUGUGGAAUCAUGAUGUUUCUGGCGGUCGUGUCUGCGGGUGUCAUGAUUUAUAAGAAACUACCUAACGGUCACCGUGAAAACAGAAGAGUGCUGGGGGUUCAGGCCUCCUCCUGUGAGCCUCACCUCUCCUCUGUGCACAGACAGACAGCGCCCACCCUGCCCACCCCUCCCCCUUGAGACCAUCUCAGAGAGAACCCCUCCAACAUGUGGUACAGCAAGUGUCCUUGUUUAGUAGCUUGGUGUGAGUAAUUCUGCGUGAGAACUCAAAAAAGAAAUAUUUGCACAGGUUUGUAUAAGCUAUUCACACUACUCUUUGGCAACAGGAGAUUAGGUGGCAGAGUUUAAUACAUACAGAAUUCUGGAAAAAGCGUUUUUAAGACCUUUCACUUUUAAUGUUAGGACUUUGCCCACAUUGGUUACUUAAUGACCAGGGAGGGACCUGAAAUGGAUUUUGAACUGGCACACAGGAGUUGUACCAGCAGCAAGUUCUGGUCCUGGUUUGAGCGUUUCAUACAUGUGGUGUAACUCUGCUUUAGAAGAACUAGGCUUGAGAAAUCUGUGCCCAGUUGUGUUACACUUUGAUCUGCUUGCCUCAUUCACAAGCCAGGUGAUUCCUCCCACCAUAGUCAAUGACAAGUCAUGUCUCAGUCUCCAUUCAUGUAAAAAAAGACUACAGGUUAUUAACCUUCUGCAACUCUUAAGAAAUGGCAGUGUCACAGUCUGUCAGGCCCCUCAAAUGAAUACACCCAAAUAUCAACUGGUCGCCCCCCCUCACCCAGUUCCAAACCUCUGCCUGUGUUUUUGAGUGUUGUCAAUCCUGUGACUACCACUCCGUGGUACCAAGUUUGACCCUAAGGAACAAUGUUUGUCUCUUCUCUCUCGCUGGCCACGAAGCUACAGGCUCCUUGAGGUGCGACCAUGAGCAACACCCAGUCAUACUGUCCACACACCAGAGAGGCCCUUGUCACACUCGACAGCGCUGAGGGGAGCUGCUUGGGGGAGCGGCCUACCCAUGGUGGAAGGGAGCCCCUCGUAGCCUCGUCUGGUCCAGUU
Molecule: long non-coding RNA, 1440 nt
Organism: Bos indicus x Bos taurus (hybrid cattle)
Lineage: Eukaryota; Metazoa; Chordata; Mammalia; Artiodactyla; Bovidae
Source: Ensembl